Leifsonia sp. SCN 70-46 is the source of this 144-nucleotide non-coding RNA. NCBI's taxonomy places the organism in Bacteria, Bacillati, Actinomycetota, Actinomycetes, Micrococcales, Microbacteriaceae. The record is from Rfam.
AACGUGCUCCGGGGUCGGUGAAAGUCCGAACCGGCGGUGAUAGUCCGCGACCCGAGUCGACAGACGAGGUUGAGCCGGUGGAAUUCCGGCACCGACGGUAAUGGGUUGGCAACAGCCCUCAGUCCGGAUGAGAGGAAGCACGGG